UAAAUUUCUACACUUAAGAAUAAUUGUGUGGAACAAUACAGAGAAGAUUAGCAUGGCCCCUGCGCAAGGAUAAUAUGCAAAUUCGUGAAGCGUUCCAUAUUUUA
Small nuclear RNA from Oryctolagus cuniculus (rabbit), 104 nucleotides. Lineage: Eukaryota; Metazoa; Chordata; Mammalia; Lagomorpha; Leporidae. The record is from Ensembl.